GACGAACGCUGGCGGCGUGCUUAACACAUGCAAGUCGAACGAGGUCCAACCGGUGGCAACACCGGGGACGGCCUAGUGGCGAACGGGUGAGUAUCACGUGAGGAACCUGCCCCGAAGACCGGGAGUAACCCUCCGAAAGGAAGAGCUAAUACCGGAUGCCCUCACCGGACCGCAUGAUCUGGUGAGGAAAUGGAUUCCGGCUUCGGGAGGGCCUCGCGGCCUAUCAGCUUGUUGGUGGGGUAACGGCCCACCAAGGCUUCGACGGGUAGCUGGUCUGAGAGGA
This 283-nucleotide ribosomal RNA is filed under the name uncultured bacterium. RNAcentral describes it as "partial 16S ribosomal RNA". It matches the Rfam family "Bacterial small subunit ribosomal RNA", at positions 28 to 300 of the family's 1533-position model. The record is from RNAcentral.